This 613-nucleotide ribosomal RNA is filed under the name Herbaspirillum aquaticum. Its description in RNAcentral is "bacterial SSU rRNA". It matches the Rfam family "Bacterial small subunit ribosomal RNA", at positions 64 to 670 of the family's 1533-position model. Lineage: Bacteria; Pseudomonadati; Pseudomonadota; Betaproteobacteria; Burkholderiales; Oxalobacteraceae. The record is from RNAcentral.
GAACGGCAGCAUAGGAGCUUGCUCCUGAUGGCGAGUGGCGAACGGGUGAGUAAUAUAUCGGAACGUGCCCUAGAGUGGGGGAUAACUAGUCGAAAGACUAGCUAAUACCGCAUACGAUCUACGGAUGAAAGUGGGGGAUCGCAAGACCUCAUGCUCCUGGAGCGGCCGAUAUCUGAUUAGCUAGUUGGUGGGGUAAAAGCCUACCAAGGCGACGAUCAGUAGCUGGUCUGAGAGGACGACCAGCCACACUGGGACUGAGACACGGCCCAGACUCCUACGGGAGGCAGCAGUGGGGAAUUUUGGACAAUGGGGGCAACCCUGAUCCAGCAAUGCCGCGUGAGUGAAGAAGGCCUUCGGGUUGUAAAGCUCUUUUGUCAGGGAAGAAACGGUAGUAGCUAAUAUCUAUUACUAAUGACGGUACCUGAAGAAUAAGCACCGGCUAACUACGUGCCAGCAGCCGCGGUAAUACGUAGGGUGCAAGCGUUAAUCGGAAUUACUGGGCGUAAAGCGUGCGCAGGCGGUUGUGUAAGUCAGAUGUGAAAUCCCCGGGCUCAACCUGGGAAUUGCAUUUGAGACUGCACGGCUAGAGUGUGUCAGAGGGGGGUAGAAUUCC